This 254-nucleotide ribosomal RNA is filed under the name uncultured bacterium. RNAcentral describes it as "partial 16S ribosomal RNA". It matches the Rfam family "Bacterial small subunit ribosomal RNA", at positions 524 to 776 of the family's 1533-position model. The record is from RNAcentral.
CACGUAGGGGCCAAGCGUUGUCCGGAUUUAUUGGGCGUAAAGAGCUCGUAGGUGGUUCGACAAGUCGGGUGUGAAAACUCCGGGCUCAACCCGGAGACGCCACCCGAUACUGUCGUGACUGGAGUCCGGUAGGGGAGUGGGGAAUUCCUGGUGUAGCGGUGAAAUGCGCAGAUAUCGGGAAGAACACCCGUGGCGAAGGCGGUUCUCUGGGACGGUACUGACGCUGAGACGCGAAAGCGUGGGGAGCGAACAGG